GGAGAGGUGGCUGAGUGGUUUAAAGUGCUCGCUUGGAAAGCGUGUGUGCCGUAAGGUACCGCAGGUUCGAAUCCUGUCCUCUCCG
RNAcentral lists this transfer RNA (85 nucleotides) under Patescibacteria group bacterium. Its description in RNAcentral is "tRNA-Ser". It matches the Rfam family "tRNA". Rfam says of the family: Transfer RNA (tRNA) molecules are approximately 80 nucleotides in length. Their secondary structure includes four short double-helical elements and three loops (D, anti-codon, and T loops). The record is from RNAcentral.